GAUGAACGCUAGCGGCAGGCUUAAUACAUGCAAGUUGAGGGGCAGCAUGAUAUACGCGAGUAUAUUGAUGGCGACCGGCGGACGGGUGAGUAAUAGGUAGGAGACCUACCUCAUACAGGGGGAUAGCAUAGAGAAAUCUGUGGUAAUACCCCAUGAGGUUAUAUGAAUAGAGGCAUAUAAUCAAAGCAUAAGCGAUUAUGCGGUAUGAGAGGGGCCUACUGACCAUUAGCUAGUUGGUGAGGUAAGGGCUCACCAAGGCGAAGAUGGUUAGGGGUUUUGAGAGAGAGACCCCCCACAUUGGAACUGAGAGACGGUCCAGACUCCUACGGGAGGCAGCCGUAGGGAAUAUUGGGCAAUGGGCGAAAGCCUGACCCAGCCAUGCCGCGUGAAGGAAGACGGCCUUAUGGGUUGUAAACUUCUUUACUACGCGAAUAGAGGUUAGUACGAGAUACUAAUAGGAAGGUAGUGUAGUAAAAGCACCGGCUAACUCCGUGCC
RNAcentral lists this ribosomal RNA (496 nucleotides) under uncultured bacterium. Its description in RNAcentral is "bacterial SSU rRNA". It matches the Rfam family "Bacterial small subunit ribosomal RNA", at positions 28 to 509 of the family's 1533-position model. The record is from RNAcentral.